This 795-nucleotide ribosomal RNA is filed under the name uncultured archaeon. Its description in RNAcentral is "bacterial SSU rRNA". It matches the Rfam family "Archaeal small subunit ribosomal RNA", at positions 85 to 879 of the family's 1478-position model. The record is from RNAcentral.
ACGGCUCAGUAACRCGUCGAUAACGUUCCGUGAAGUUCGGAAUAACCUUGGGAAACUGAGGAUAAUACCGAAUAGGGAACAAAGUGCGGAAUCCUUUUGUUCCAGAAAGCUCCGGCGCUUCACGAUCGGUCGGCGGCCCAUCAGGUAGUUGGUGAGGUAAUGGCUCACCAAGCCUAAGACGGGUAGGGGCCAUGAGAGUGGUUGCCCCGAGAAGGACACUGAGAUACUGGUCCUAGCCCUAAGGGGUGCAGCAGUCGCGAAAACUUCACAAUGCACGGAAGUGUGAUGAGGGGAUUCUGAGUGCUUACGGUUUAUCCGUAGGCUUUUCGUUAGGGUAAAUACCUAGCGGAAUAAGUGGUGGGCAAGACUGGUGCCAGCCGCCGCGGUAACCCCAGCGCCACAAGUGGGAACCACGCUUAUUGGGUUUAAAGCAUCCGUAGCCGGUUCGGCAAAUGCCCUGUGAAAUCGUUGUGCUCAACACAACGGCGUGCAGGGUAGACUACCGAACUUGGGACCAGGGGAAGUAGACGGUAUUCCUGAGGGAGCGGUAAAAUGUGAUAAUCUCAGGAGGACCACCGAUGGCGAAGGCAGUCUACUAAAAUGGAUCCGACGGUGAGGGAUGAAAGCUAGGGGAGCGAUCCGGAUUAGAUACCCGAGUAGUCCUAGCCGUAAACGCUGCAUGCCAGAUGUUACACAAUCUUCGAGAUUGUGUAGUGUCGUAACGAAGGUGUUAAGCAUGCCACCUGGGAAGUACGGUCGCAAGGCUGAAACUUAAAGGAAUUGGCGGGGGAGCAC